AAUAGACUUGCACUAGUGGGGCCCAAUCUAUCAUGAUAAAAAUAGUUGUGUGGAUAUUGUGGCUCAGGCUGUCAAGUCUAGGGGUUUGAGUGGGCUUGAGUACCCAAGCCACAACGUCUACAGUACUACUUGUAGUGCAUUCGCUUGAGCCCUGCUGGCACCAGUCUGUGGCACAGCUGUGGCACUUUAGGCAUUUGAAAGGCAAAGCUGACAGCUGUGUUUAGUGAAAAGGGAAGCCAUAAACAAUUAAGGCCUGCUGUGGUUUGAAGCUGUGUUUUUGAGGAGAAGGAGAUCUUCCUAAAUAGAAAAGGUAACAAACAGCUGAAAUAGAUCAUAACAUGAAGGACUCAGGAAAAGAAGGAAAUUUGUACUCGGAAUGGAAUAUUCCCUAAACACAAACAACUCUUGUCAACAAAAGCUCCUUUGGAACAGAAGACACCACCUGGAGAGAUUCCUGAGGUGGGAAAUUGGCUCCUAAUGAUGAUUUGUACUGAAGAGCGGUUGUUAUAGAAAGGUCCGUUCAUGUGAACAAAAUGAGAGAGGCAGAAACCUCACAGAAGUUAAUUACACCAAAGCUUCACCAGAAUAGCAGGGUCUUCCUACUAUGGGUAUAGAAGUUUGUCUGUUCAGCUCACCACAGCCUGAGUACAUCAGAUCCAACAUUCUACAUAUCCACAUACUUUCACACAGGAACAGUCUAUACUCAUUGACUUUGCUAGUGGUGGGAAGUUAUUUUUGCAAUAUGAAGGAACUAUGAAGGCUGAACCAUAUGGAAGAAUUGGAUUGCCUUAUGUUUCUCGAGGUAAUGUUAAAAUGAGUGUUUAGGUUUAUUCAUAUAGCAGAUCUGACACUGAUUAUAUUUCACUAAUUUCUGCACUUUCUAUCAUGUUUUUCAUCAUGGCAUUGUUUCCCCUAUACAAUAAUUGAGAGGACAUCAGGCUACAUGUGAUUUGAAUAAGUAGGUAUUCUCUGCUAAGACUCAUCAGACAAAAUAGUUUGUUACUGACU
Molecule: long non-coding RNA, 1008 nt
Organism: Mauremys mutica (yellowpond turtle)
Lineage: Eukaryota; Metazoa; Chordata; Testudines; Geoemydidae
Exons: 4
Source: RefSeq, a predicted model, not a curated record